This 73-nucleotide transfer RNA is filed under the name Octopus vulgaris (common octopus). It matches the Rfam family "tRNA". Rfam says of the family: Transfer RNA (tRNA) molecules are approximately 80 nucleotides in length. Lineage: Eukaryota; Metazoa; Mollusca; Cephalopoda; Octopoda; Octopodidae. RNAcentral also lists the same sequence under 2 other names. The record is from Rfam by way of RNAcentral.
GCCCGCAUAGCUCAGUCGGUAGAGCAUCAGACUUUUAAUCUGAGGGUCGCGGGUUCAAGUCCCUCUGCGGGCG